Molecule: long non-coding RNA, 233 nt
Filed under: Oncorhynchus kisutch (coho salmon)
Lineage: Eukaryota; Metazoa; Chordata; Actinopteri; Salmoniformes; Salmonidae
Description: lncRNA (ENSOKIG00005036549.1)
Source: RNAcentral
GAUACCAUUCCAUUAUUCCGUUCCAGCCAUUACGAUGAGCUGUCCUACCCAAUUAAGGUGCCACCAGCCACAUGUGCACCCAAGGUAUCAGUGCUUACAAACUAAGUUCACAUUGAUUUCCACUUUUAAGGAACAUGCGCCAAGGAUGACCAAUAUCUACUCUGCUCUUUGUCUUUUGUUCAUCUUCUCAUCCUCUGGCAGAGUAAUAAGAGAGAGAAGAUCAAACAGUCUGU